AAUGUUAUUUGGCUUUCAGCUCAUAGAGUGAGGCUAUUAUCCAUUGUAGCAAAGGGCCUUACCAAUUGUUGAGAAUUUAGCUCUGCACAUUGAUGAGGGGCACUUGCCCAUUGCAGUGGAGAGAGGCUUCAGCCUGAGGUAGAGUAAGGACAUAAAAUUAAAGAGGAAGGGAUUAUUGUCUAUUGGUGAGAGAACUCUUGCCCAUAUAGUUGAAGACACCCUUUGUGGUGUAGUGUUGUAAUAGUAAAUAUAUUGGGUUAUGUCUAGAGGAGAUUGAGAGGACUACUAAUGUAUUUACUAUGAACAGUUUUUUGUGUGGGUGUAAUUGAGUUUAUGGAUAUUAUAGUUUUGAGCUUGUAAUUAAUGAUUAUAUGAAUUGAUGAUAGUAUGGCAUGCCCGUGGUUGUGGAGAGGGUAAACCAUCUGAAUAUUGGUGUUUUAUAUAUUUGCUUUAUUUCUUUUGUAGUUUACACGCUUUCGCAGUACACAGCAUUAUUGUCUACGUUGGAAAUAUUUCUUGUCAAAGCACGCUAAAAACAAGCAAAAUGCGUUACAAGACAUCUUUAGUGUUCUUCCAAACAAAUCCAAUCUCCGUUAAAAAAAAAUGAAUCAGCAAACACUAAAGUAAUGCUCAUGUGUCACGGAAGCACCAUAAUUUUGAAGUUGAAAUAUAUAGGCAUUGAAUUUUUUUGAGGUGCAUUUAAUAAAUUAAGUUUUUCCAAUGAGCCAGAUUGCUACAUCUUAUAAUCCAGGCUCCAGUAGUUCUCCUGAUGAAGGUUUUGAAGGGCUUUGCAUGAAAUGAGCAUACAAGGACAUACUUCAUCCAAGGUUAAGCUCCAGAAAUCUCAACAUACAUGAAGAGUCAAAAAAAAAAAAAAAAAAAAAA
Molecule: unclassified non-coding RNA, 885 nt
Filed under: Hevea brasiliensis (rubber tree)
Lineage: Eukaryota; Viridiplantae; Streptophyta; Magnoliopsida; Malpighiales; Euphorbiaceae
Source: RNAcentral